This 1646-nucleotide long non-coding RNA is filed under the name Homo sapiens (human). Its description in RNAcentral is "HSALNT0280907". The record is from RNAcentral. Lineage: Eukaryota; Metazoa; Chordata; Mammalia; Primates; Hominidae.
CAGAUUCCUGUUGGCCUCUCUGCACGGCACUCCUUCCUCCUGGGUUGAGGGCAGGACCCUUUCUAAAAUGAGGAUCUUAUGACCUACAAUCAGACAAGAAACAGGUUUUCACCGUGUUGCCCAGGCUGGUCUUGAACUCCUGACCUCAAGCAAUCUGCCUUGGCCUCCCAAAGUGCUGGGAUUACAGGUGUGAGCCACCACAUCCAGCAGAAGGUCAUUCUUCACCUAUCAAAAUGGCAAAGAUAUUUUAAAAAGAAAAGAUAAAAAUUGGCAAAGUUCAGGGAAAUUGCUGAUGUGUAAGUGAUUGUGUGAAACUGUUCUGAAGGGUUACAUGAAAUACAUAUUCAAAGCCUUCAACGUGUGCCUACUAUUUGACCUAAAUAUCUCAUUUAAUAUUUUUCCAAAGAAAAUAAUUUAAGGGUCAAAUGUUUUAGAGUAUUUAGGAUAUUUACUGCAACAUUGUUUAUAAUAGCAAAAAAGAAAUACUAGAAAAAGCUUCACUGUACAGCAACAAAUGGUUAAAUAUAUAAUGUAUAAUCUAUACAAUAGCAUGCAGUAGGUCUCUUAACUCCACUUAACACAUUCACAAAACUCCCCAGGGCGCAUCCCUCCCCAUUAGCCACCUCCCAUCAUGUCAUAGGUAGAUAUGCAAAAUGCUAUAUUGAAGGGCCAGGUAAAUCUCAGUCAGGAUGGCAUUACGGCAUGGAGAGACAAGUUAUUAUAGUACAGCACAUGCUUGAUUCCAUGAGUCAAACUGCAUGCUUCCAAGAGAUAGUUGUGUUCGCUCCUGUGACUAUUUCAUGCCAGAGGUGCUUGUUGACACUGUGAUUUCAAUAAACAUUACAUAAACUAAUAUAAAAAAAUUGCUUGAGACAGGGUCUUGCUGUCACCCAGACUGGAGUGCAGUGGCAUGAUCAUAGCUCACUGCAGACUCAAACUCCUGGACUCAAGCAAUCCACUCACCUCAGCCUCCUAACUGGGACUACAGGUGCACACCACCAUGCUCAGAUAAUUUUUUAACUUUUUGUAGAGAAAGGGUCUCACUAUGUUUCCCAGGCUGGUCUCAAGCGAUCCUCCCAUCUCAGUCUCCCAAAGUGCUGGGAUUACAGGCAUGAGCCACCACUGUGCCUGGCCUAAAAAUUUUUUGUUAAAAAUGCUUUCCACCGGCCGGGUGCAGUGGCUCAUGCCUAUAAUCCCAGCACUUUGGGAGGCCAAGGUAGGUGGAUCACCUGAGGUCAGGAAUUUGAGACCAGCUGGCCAACAUGGUGAAACCGCCUUUCUACUAAAAAUACAAAAACUAGCCAGGCAUGGGGGCUGACACCUGUAAUCCUAGCUACUCAGGAGGCUGAGGCAGGAGAAUCGCUUGAACCCGGGAGGUAGAGGUUGCAGUGAGCCAAGAUCAUGCCACUGCACUCCAGCUGGAGCGACAGAGUGAAACUCUGUCUCACACACACACACACACACAAAAAUACUUUCCACCUAAUUCUGAGGCAGAGCCAAGUUUGUGAACACUAAUGUAGAACCCACAAUAAAUAUUGCUUCCUUCUUGGGAGGACUUUUUUCAGAGAUUAUUUUUUCUUCUAAGUUACCUUCCUGUCAAAAAAGGAACGGUCUUGGCUACAGAUUUUUUUUUUUUUUUUUUUUUG